Molecule: transfer RNA, 71 nt
Filed under: Thermoplasmatota archaeon
Lineage: Archaea; Methanobacteriati; Thermoplasmatota
Description: tRNA-His
Rfam family: tRNA
About the family: Transfer RNA (tRNA) molecules are approximately 80 nucleotides in length. Their secondary structure includes four short double-helical elements and three loops (D, anti-codon, and T loops). Further hydrogen bonds mediate the characteristic L-shaped molecular structure. tRNAs have two regions of fundamental functional importance: the anti-codon, which is responsible for specific mRNA codon recognition, and the 3' end, to which the tRNAs corresponding amino acid is attached (by aminoacyl-tRNA synthetases). tRNAs cope with the degeneracy of the genetic code in two manners: having more than one tRNA (with a specific anti-codon) for a particular amino acid; and 'wobble' base-pairing, i.e. permitting non-standard base-pairing at the 3rd anti-codon position.
Source: RNAcentral
GCCCGGGUAGUGUAGCGGUAACAUAGGGGACUGUGGAUCCCCUGUCUCGGGUUCAAAUCCCGGCCCGGGCC